AUGCCCAUGGAGGUCGACCUCGACCGUGCACGCGCUCUGCGCGUUCUCGGCCGAGGCGCCAUGGGCACCGUCUUCCUUGUCGAGGCCGACCCGGCGCGGCCCGGCUGCGGCCGCUACGCCCUCAAGGUCUUCGACAAGCGCUCCGCCGGGCCGACCAAGCCCGACGCCGACCGCCGCGCACGGUGGGAGGUGACCCUGCUCUCCCGCCUUGCGCACCCGCACCUGCCGUCCCUCAUUGGCACCGCCGAGACGCCCGACCUCCUCGCCUGGGCCGUCCCCUACUGCCCCGGCGGUGACCUGAACGAGCUCCGCUACUCCCUAGCUGACCGUGUCUUCUCUCCGGCCGCCAUACGCUUCUACAUCGCCGAGACCGUGUCCGCGCUCGCCGACCUCCACGCCUCCGGCAUCGUGUACCGCGACCUCAAGCCCGAGAACGUGCUACUCCGAGCCGACGGCCAUGUUACCCUCACCGACUUCGACCUGUCGCGCCUCCUCCCGGCCUCUACCUCUUCCCCGUCGACGUCGCCUCCUCCUCAGGUGAAGCCCGUCUUCCACAGCGGCCACCGCCGGACGCGCGCCUCCGCUGCUGGCCACCACGCCAAGCGCGAGCCUUCGUCUGCGGCCGCGUCGACGCCGAAGCUGCAGCAGUUUCAGAACCUGGUUCGUUUCCUGACGCGAAGCAACGGCAGCGCUCCCGAGCUGGCCAAGAAGACCAAGUCGGCGCGCGUGUCCCCGGUGAGCCGGAAGGCCGCAUGCUCCGGCGCGGCGUGGGGCAGGUCGUACUCGUUCGUCGGCACGGAGGAGUACGUGGCGCCGGAGGUGGUGAGCGGCGACGGCCACGGGUUCGCCGUCGACUGGUGGGCGGUGGGCGUGCUCGUCUACGAGAUGGCGUUCGGCCGCACGCCGUUCAAGGGCAAGAACCGCAAGGAGACGUUCCGGAACGUGUUGCACAGGGAGGUCGAGUUCCCGGGCGACACCCAGCGCCGGAUGCCGGAGCUGACCGACCUCAUCUCGCGGCUGCUGCAGCGGGAUCCCGCGAGGCGGCUCGGGUACGCCUGCGGCGCCGACGAGAUCCGGGCGCACCCGUUCUUCGCCGGGAUGGCGUGGGACAUGCUCGCGGAGGUGACCCGCCCGCCCUACAUCCCGCCGCCAGCGGAGGACAACGCAGCCGACGGCGAGGGCUUCGACGUGAGGGACUACUUCAAGAAGCUCCACCAGCCGCAGCCUCCGGAGUCGGGCUCCUCGUCGUCGUCGUCGUCGUCGGACUUCUCGUCGGUGUUCUGA
RNAcentral lists this ribosomal RNA (1284 nucleotides) under Triticum aestivum (bread wheat). RNAcentral's name for it is "partial small subunit ribosomal RNA". The record is from RNAcentral. Lineage: Eukaryota; Viridiplantae; Streptophyta; Magnoliopsida; Poales; Poaceae.